RNAcentral lists this small RNA (125 nucleotides) under Marmota monax (woodchuck). The record is from RNAcentral. Lineage: Eukaryota; Metazoa; Chordata; Mammalia; Rodentia; Sciuridae.
GCCGGGCAUGGCGAGGCAUGCCUGUAAUCCCAGCAGCUCUGGAGGCUGAGACAGGAGCAUUGAGAGUUCAAAGCCAGCCUCAGCAACAGUGAGGUGCUAAGCAACUAGGUGAGAACCUGUCUCUA